Molecule: ribosomal RNA, 427 nt
Filed under: Salmonella enterica subsp. enterica serovar Oranienburg
Lineage: Bacteria; Pseudomonadati; Pseudomonadota; Gammaproteobacteria; Enterobacterales; Enterobacteriaceae
Description: partial 23S ribosomal RNA
Rfam family: Bacterial large subunit ribosomal RNA
Source: RNAcentral
AAUCCAUAGGUUAAUGAGGCGAACCGGGGGAACUGAAACAUCUAAGUACCCCGAGGAAAAGAAAUCAACCGAGAUUCCCCCAGUAGCGGCGAGCGAACGGGGAGGAGCCCAGAGCCUGAAUCAGCAUGUGUGUUAGUGGAAGCGUCUGGAAAGGCGCGCGAUACAGGGUGACAGCCCCGUACACAAAAGCGCAUGUGCUGUGAGCUCGAUGAGUAGGGCGGGACACGUGGUAUCCUGUCUGAAUAUGGGGGGACCAUCCUCCAAGGCUAAAUACUCCUGACUGACCGAUAGUGAACCAGUACCGUGAGGGAAAGGCGAAAAGAACCCCGGCGAGGGGAGUGAAAAAGAACCUGAAACCGUGUACGUACAAGCAGUGGGAGCACCCUUUGGGGUGUGACUGCGUACCUUUUGUAUAAUGGGUCAGCGA